This 440-nucleotide ribosomal RNA is filed under the name uncultured bacterium. RNAcentral's name for it is "partial 16S ribosomal RNA". It matches the Rfam family "Bacterial small subunit ribosomal RNA", at positions 338 to 795 of the family's 1533-position model. The record is from RNAcentral.
CCUACGGGAGGCAGCAGUGGGGAAUAUUGCACAAUGGGGGAAACCCUGAUGCAGCGACGCCGCGUGAGUGAAGAAGUAAUUCGUUGUGUAAAGCUCUAUCAGCAGGGAAGAAAAUGACGGUACCUGAGUAAGAAGCCCCGGCUAACUACGUGCCAGCAGCCGCGGUACUACGUAGGGGGCAAGCGUUAUCCGGAUUUACUGGGUGUAAAGGGAGCGUAGACGGCAGUGCAAGUCUGGAGUGAAAGGCGGGGGCUCAACCCCCGGACUGCUCUUGAAACUGUACGGCUGGAGGGCAGGAGAGGUAAGCGGAAUUCCUAGGGUAGCGGUGAAAUGCGUAGAUAUUAGGAGGAACACCAGUGGCGAAGGCGGCUUACUGGACUGUAACUGACGUUGAGGCUCGAAAGCGUGGGGAGCAAACAGGAUUAGAUACCCGGGUAGUC